RNA transcript from Oenanthe melanoleuca, 2070 nucleotides. It is a transcript of the gene named translation initiation factor IF-2-like, with no coding region annotated. The transcript has 3 exons. Lineage: Eukaryota; Metazoa; Chordata; Aves; Passeriformes; Muscicapidae. The record is from RefSeq and is a predicted model, not a curated record.
CUCAGCACGGGCGUCCCCUGCCCCUCCUCAUCCAGCCAGCCCCCCCUCCGCACCCCCAAACCGCUGCUAACGCUCCCCUUGUCCACACUGGGGGUGCAGCCCCCGGUCCCAAACUCCUCCAGCCACAGGCAGCACAUUUUGGGAGGUUUUCUCCCUUUUUUUGGGGCACAAUUGGCUCCUACUUCUGAGGUGGGGGUGCUCCCCGAAUGGCCAGGGGAUGGUCAGGGACGUGCUCGGGCCCGGGUGCUGCACCCCUGGGGUGGCAUUGCCAGGGUGGGGGGACGGUGACACCCCGCCCCGCUGCUGCUGCUGCUGCUGCUGCUGCUGCUGCUCCCCGCUCUGCUGCACGCCACCGGCUCCCUCCGCAUCCCGGCUCAGCGCCCGGCCACGCCCGAGCUCCUCGGAGCCAUCCCUCCUCCCAAAAAAAAAAACCAUCAGCUGUCUGCCCCACCCUCGGAUGGGUCCUGUGGGUCGGGAUGGGGACACGCAGAGAUGCAGCCGGGGCUGAGCCCUGGGCUGGGGCUGCCGCGGCCCCCAGAGCGUGGCACAGAGCCCCGGACACCAACCCGGCUGUGAGAGACCCGCAGCGCCUCCCGGACCCCGUUUUGAGGCCGUUUUUGAGGGGUCGCAUCCCCCCGCGGGGAUUUCCCGGAGCGGCACAGCCCCGCCAGCCGGGGCUCGAGUGUCUUUGCUUUAUUUGUUUAAUUAAAACCAAGGCGAGUAGGGCGGCCCAGCCGUCGGGAGCCGGCGCCCUGCGCAAAGCGAUUCCUCGGGGAAGCCCGGCGGCCGAGCGGGACCACGGGGGCAGCCGGGUGAGUCUCCCCCUCCCUCCCUAAAGCACUUGGGGCCCUUUUCCCUCUUUUUCCUCAUCCCGCCGGGAUUUGCGGUUAUAAUACACCACCAAACUCUCUCCUCCGCCUUCCCCUGCUCAGGUCUCGGGCUUUCCCGGCAGCAGGAUCACCCCGGAGGAUUUGGCCACAGCGGGGUCCCUCCUCUGGGGUCGCUCCCUGGGCAAAACCUCUCCCGUGCGGCCCCUUUUUGGCCGCGGAGGGUCCCCGUGCCCUCGGUGCCUUGCCCGUUUUUCCCCGGUGAAGACGUGACCCCUUCCUCCUCCUCCUCCUCCUCCUCUUCCUCCUCCUCUUCCUCCUCCUCUUCCUCGCGGGGUCGGAGCGCGUUCCACCCGGGAAAUCCGCCACGGUGUCGGCAUCCAGGCUCCGCGGUGCUGGAGCUGCUCUGAGCCCAGAAGCCCCUUCCCAAACCCAAAAGGGCCUUUUUUCCGCCUCGCUUCCUCCUCCCUCCCACCGAGGAGACGUCAGGUUACAGCCUCCGCUUUGAGAGGCGGGGGGGCCCGGGCAGGACCCCCCUCGCUCCUGGAGGGACCCCGGCUCCUCUCCGGCAUCGCUAGAAGAAGCAGCAGCUGCAGCCCCCGAAAUCGCGCCCGCCCGGCCUGAAGUUCCGCAUGCAGAAGCGGCCGCGGGGCCCCUCCUGAGCCUCUCCAUCCUCUCCGUCUUUCUCAGGAACUCCGCGGCCCCGGAGCCGUGCGGGAGCACGGUGGGACCGAGCCGAGCCGUGCUGCCGGCCCCGGCAGCCUUUUGCUUGACAGAACUGGUUGUUGACCUUAUUUUUAUUUUUUUUUUUUACUUUUUUUACCUUUUUUUUUUUUUUUAACUUUUUUUUUUUUUUUUUUCCCUAAGCACCCACCCGCUUGGUUUUGUCCUUGCCCAGCUGACCUUGUUGUGUUUUUUCCCACCCCCUUUUCCAAUUUUUACCGUGUCUGUGACAUUUCCUAUCGAUAAGUAAAGAGGGACUCCAGCGUCCUGGUCUUUCUUGUGCAUCUUUGGUUGUCACUGUGUGUUUUUCUGCCUCCCUCCAUCCGUCCCAGCAGCAGGUAAUGGUGGCACCCGUGGGUGAGCCCACGGGAGAGGAGGAGCCGCCCUGGAAUCGGGAUGCUGGAGCCGCUUGCUGCUGCCCGGGGGCGCUUGCUUGGCUGGAGGGCAGCGGUGUGGGGCUGGGGGGGCUGGAGGGGCUGCGUUGGGAUGGAAAUGAAGCAUUCCAGGAUUUCCCAGCCGG